Molecule: ribosomal RNA, 504 nt
Filed under: uncultured bacterium
Lineage: Bacteria
Description: partial 16S ribosomal RNA
Rfam family: Bacterial small subunit ribosomal RNA
Source: RNAcentral
GACGAACGCUGGCGGCGUGCUUAACACAUGCAAGUCGAACGGAAAGGCCCUGCUUGCAGGGUACUCGAGUGGCGAACGGGUGAGUAACACGUGGGUGAUCUGCCCUGCACUUCGGGAUAAGCCUGGGAAACUGGGUCUAAUACCGGAUAGGAGCCAUUUUUAGUGUGAUGGUUGGAAAGUUUUUUCGGUGUAGGAUGAGCUCGCGGCCUAUCAGCUUGUUGGUGGGGUAAUGGCCUACCAAGGCGGCGACGGGUAGCCGGCCUGAGAGGGUGGACGGCCACGUGGGGACAGAGAGACCGCCCGGACGCCGAGGGGAGGAAGCGGGGGGGAAUAUGGCACAGUGGGCGCAGGCUGGAUGCGGCGGCGCGGGGGGGGUGGUGACGGCCGUGGUGUUGUACACUGCUUUGGCUAGGGACGAAUCUUGUUGUGACGCUAAAGAGAUAAGAAGCCCCGGAUACCUGCUCGCGAGCAGGCGCGGUAAUGGUGGAAGAGCACACGGCUGAA